This is a long non-coding RNA of Gymnodraco acuticeps, 406 nucleotides long. RefSeq lists it as uncharacterized. Lineage: Eukaryota; Metazoa; Chordata; Actinopteri; Perciformes; Bathydraconidae. The transcript is spliced from 3 exons. The record is from RefSeq and is a predicted model, not a curated record.
UGUGGUCUCGCAAAUCGCGCAGAUUACAUAGGCCUACAUGUAUAUAAACCUGCGGCGGAAACCCCUCUAGUCUGUCAGUGGUGUGCUGUCUGAGGAGCUCCAGCAGCAGAGAUGAUCCUCAGACUGGGGCGGCUCACUCCAGGAUACUUCAGACUCCUGGAGAGGCAGGUCUCCGGUGAGGUCCGGAUGCAGCCACAGAGCAGCUUCAUCAAUCCCAUCGCCAUGACGAUGGCCACAUUGGGGAUGGGAGUAUCUCUGUACAGCGCCAGGCAGAUGGCAGAGAGGGAUCUGAAGCAUCAGUGAGAGCAGUGUGUAGGGUGUGGGACAGGGUGUGUGUGUGUGUGUGUGUGUGUGUGUGUGUGUGUGUGUGUGUGUGUGUGUGUGUGUGUGUGUGUGUGUGUGUGUG